GACGAACGCUGGCGGCGUGCUUAACACAUGCAAGUCGAACGGAAAGGCCCUGCUUUUGUGGGGUGCUCGAGUGGCGAACGGGUGAGUAACACGUAAGUAACCUGCCCUUGACUUUGGGAUAACUUCAGGAAACUGGGGCUAAUACCGGAUACGAGCUCCCGCCGCAUGGAGGGGGGUGGAAAGUUUCGGCGGUUGGGGAUGGACUCGCGGCGUAUCAGCUUGUUGGUGGGGUGGCUUACCAAGGCUUUGACGGGUAGCCGGCCUGAGAGGGUGACCGGCCACAUUGGGACUGAGAUACGGCCCAGACUCCUACGGGAGGCAGCAGUGGGGAAUAUUGCACAAUGGGCGGAAGCCUGAUGCAGCAACGCCGCGUGCGGGAUGACGGCCUUCGGGUUGUAAACCGCUUUCGCCUGUGACGAAGCGUGAGUGACGGUAAUGGGUAAAGAAGCACCGGCUAACUACGUG
This 465-nucleotide ribosomal RNA is filed under the name uncultured bacterium. Its description in RNAcentral is "partial 16S ribosomal RNA". It matches the Rfam family "Bacterial small subunit ribosomal RNA", at positions 28 to 507 of the family's 1533-position model. The record is from RNAcentral.